UACGGAGGUGGCAAGCGUUGUUCGGAAUUACUGGGCGUAAAGGGCGCGUAGGCGGCGGUGCAAGUCAGAUGUGAAAGCCCCGGGCUCAACUCGGGAAUUGCAUCUGAAACUGUGCUGCUUGAGUUCUGGAGGGGGUAGUGGAAUUCCCAGUGUAGCGGUGAAAUGCGUAGAUAUUGGGAGGAACACCUGCGGCGAAGGCGGCUACCUGGACAGUGACUGACGCUGAGGCGCGAAAGCUAGGGGAG
This 245-nucleotide ribosomal RNA is filed under the name uncultured bacterium. RNAcentral's name for it is "partial 16S ribosomal RNA". It matches the Rfam family "Bacterial small subunit ribosomal RNA", at positions 524 to 768 of the family's 1533-position model. The record is from RNAcentral.